AAUCAACGCUGGCGGCGUGCCUAACACAUGCAAGUCGAACGCGAAAGUCCCGCAAGGGAUUAGUAGAGUGGCAAACGGGUGAGUAACACGUGGGUGACCUGCCUUCGAGUGGGGGAUAACGUCCCGAAAGGGACGCUAAUACCGCAUAACAUCCUGCCUUUUAAGAGGUGGAGAUCAAAGCUGGGGACCGUAAGGCCUGGCGCUGGAAGAGGGGCCCGCGUCUGAUUAGCUAGUUGGUGAGGAACGGCUCACCAAGGCAACGAUCAGUAUCCGGCCUGAGAGGGCGGACGGACACACUGGGACUGAGACACGGCCAGACUCCUACGGGAGGCAGCAGUGGGGAAUUGUUCGCAAUGGGCGCAAGCCUGACGACGCAACGCCGCGUGGAGGAUGAA
This 395-nucleotide ribosomal RNA is filed under the name uncultured bacterium. RNAcentral's name for it is "bacterial SSU rRNA". It matches the Rfam family "Bacterial small subunit ribosomal RNA", at positions 29 to 412 of the family's 1533-position model. The record is from RNAcentral.